GACGAACGCUGGCGGCGUGCCUAAUACAUGCAAGUCGAACGGGGAACACAGACGGAAGUUUUCGGAUGGAAGGAAGUGUUCUUAGUGGCGGACGGGUGAGUAACGCGUGAGCAAUCUGCCCAUAAGAGGGGGAUAACAGUUAGAAAUGACUGCUAAUACCGCAUAAGACCACACUACCGCAUGGUAGAGGGGUCAAAGAUUUAUCGCUUAUGGAGGAGCUCGCGUCCCAUUAGGUAGUUGGUAGGGUAACAGCCUACCAAGCCUGCGAUGGGUAGCCGGCCUGAGAGGGUGAACGGCCACACUGGAACUGAGAGACGGUCCAGACUCCUACGGGAGGCAGCAGUAGGGAAUAUUGGGCAAUGGGGAAACCCUGACCCAGCAACGCCGCGUGAGGGAAGAAGGCCUAACGGUGUAAACCUCUGUCAUAUGGGAAGAAGGAAUGACAGUACCAUAUGAGAAGCUCCGGCUAACUACGUGACCAGCAGCCGCGGUAACUACGUAGCGU
RNAcentral lists this ribosomal RNA (505 nucleotides) under uncultured bacterium. RNAcentral's name for it is "bacterial SSU rRNA". It matches the Rfam family "Bacterial small subunit ribosomal RNA", at positions 28 to 533 of the family's 1533-position model. The record is from RNAcentral.